Molecule: long non-coding RNA, 256 nt
Organism: Miniopterus natalensis
Lineage: Eukaryota; Metazoa; Chordata; Mammalia; Chiroptera; Miniopteridae
Source: RefSeq, a predicted model, not a curated record
GGGUCCUGGAGAACAUUAUGGGAAGCAAAAUAAGCCAGCCCUUGCCUUUAUGCCAUGGAGCAAACAAUGCAAAUGUAAGUGCGUCAAGAGAGGAACUUCGAGGCCGGCAGGUGGUGGAAGGGGCAGCUGAGCAGGGUCGAUGUGAAGACGAAAGGAGACAGUUCCCGACGAGCGUCUAGUGCCGAGUCCUCGGAAGGCCCUGCCGCAGCUGUCUCGGGAGAAGGGACAGGGUCAUGGAGGGGAGAUGGAGAGACAG